RNAcentral lists this ribosomal RNA (503 nucleotides) under uncultured microorganism. RNAcentral's name for it is "bacterial SSU rRNA". It matches the Rfam family "Bacterial small subunit ribosomal RNA", at positions 9 to 498 of the family's 1533-position model. The record is from RNAcentral.
GAGUUUGAUCAUGGCUCAGGAUGAACGCUGGCGGCGUGCCUAAUACAUGCAAGUCGAGCGAACGGACGAGAAGCUUGCUUCUCUGAUGUUAGCGGCGGACGGGUGAGUAACACGUGGAUAACCUACCUAUAAGACUGGGAUAACUUCGGGAAACCGGAGCUAAUACCGGAUGAUAUUUUGAACCGCAUGGUUCAAAAGUGAAAGACGGUCUUGCUGUCACUUAUAGAUGGAUCCGCGCUGCAUUAGCUAGUUGGUAAGGUAACGGCUUACCAAGGCAACGAUGCAUAGCCGACCUGAGAGGGUGAUCGGCCACACUGGAACUGAGACACGGUCCAGACUCCUACGGGAGCAGCAGUAGGGAAUCUUCCGCAAUGGGCGAAAGCCUGACGGAGCAACGCCGCGUGAGUGAUGAAGGUCUUCGGAUCGUAAAACUCUGUUAUUAGGAAGACAUGUGUGUAAGUAACUGUGCACAUCUUGACGGUACCUAAUCAGAAAGCACGGCU